This 20-nucleotide ribosomal RNA is filed under the name Pestalotiopsis photiniae. RNAcentral's name for it is "partial 18S ribosomal RNA". Lineage: Eukaryota; Fungi; Ascomycota; Sordariomycetes; Amphisphaeriales; Sporocadaceae. The record is from RNAcentral. RNAcentral also lists the same sequence under 1 other name.
GAACAGCGGAGGGAUCAUUA